CCUCAGUGUCCCCCGCGGGCGACCAGGGGCGGAGGCUGCAGAGCCAGGGGACUGCUGCGCCGCGCAGCCCAGUGGAGACAUUUUGAGGAAAUGCAGAUGUGAGGCGCAAUCCAAGGACUUUUAAACAAAUAUGAAGCUUAAUUCAAUUGUUUCCUGAGAGAUUGACUUCUUGCAAAAGCCAAAGAAAAUCUCUAACUAAUCCAAAAGAUACUCCAGCAUUAUUGGAAGAAAUCCUGGAUGGCUUUUGACUCCAUAUCUUCAAAAAGAAAAUAUAACAAUAGUAAACAACAUCAAAAUCAACAUAAGAAUGGUUUAGUAAAACUCUGGGGUUAAGGAUGAGAAUGGGGGAGGGAGAGAAGUAAAUCAAAUGUUUAAAACUAAUGGUCAAGGAGAAGAAAAGGGAUUUAAAACAUGGAAGGCACUUUUCUGAAAGUCAGUAUGUUAGUUACAGGAAGAAAUAGGAGCAUGAAAGAUGAAACAUUUAAAAGCACAAGAAAGAUAUUCUUCCAAAAUUUUAUUUUUAUUUUCAGAUGAGGUUAGGUAAUCAAGACAAAAUUUAAAAAAAUGUAAAUUAACAUGUUUGUUUGGGUUUGAGGUCUCAUUUGUUAACACAAACACUUUACCUGGAAGGAACUUU
Molecule: non-coding RNA, 637 nt
Organism: Manis javanica (Malayan pangolin)
Lineage: Eukaryota; Metazoa; Chordata; Mammalia; Pholidota; Manidae
Source: RefSeq, a predicted model, not a curated record